This 465-nucleotide ribosomal RNA is filed under the name uncultured bacterium. RNAcentral describes it as "partial 16S ribosomal RNA". It matches the Rfam family "Bacterial small subunit ribosomal RNA", at positions 28 to 507 of the family's 1533-position model. The record is from RNAcentral.
GACGAACGCUGGCGGCGUGCUUAACACAUGCAAGUCGAACGGAAAGGCCCUGCUUGCAGGGUACUCGAGUGGCGAACGGGUGAGUAACACGUGGGUGAUCUGCCCGCACUUUCGGGUUAGGCUGGGGAAAUUGGUUUAAUUACGGAAAGGGGGCCUUUUUAGGGGGGUGGGUGGGAAGGUUUUUUUGGUGUAGGAUGAGCUCGCGGCCUAUCAGCUUGUUGGUGGGGUAAUGGCCUACCAAGGCGGCGACGGGUAGCCGGCCUGAGAGGGUGGACGGCCACAUUGGGACUGAGAUACGGCCCAGACUCCUACGGGAGGCAGCAGUGGGGAAUAUUGCACAAUGGGCGCAAGCCUGAUGCAGCGACGCCGCGUGGGGGAUGACGGCCUUCGGGUUGUAAACUCCUUUCGCUAGGGACGAAGCUUUUUGUGACGGUACCUAGAUAAGAAGCACCGGCUAACUACGUG